UUUUGAAUUUUUUACCAAAAUGUUUCUGAACUUGUUUUUUGUUGAUUUUUAUUUUUAUUUUUUAUUUUUUAGAAAUUCAUCCGAGAUUCGGUCCUUCGAAAAGAAUCUUGGAGCUGGCACAGCAUAAAAUCUCAAAAACAGUUUGGGAAACGACUCCUUGUGAGUGGCUGAUAUGGGGCAACCAGGAGCCCAUUCGGCCCAUCUCCUCAUCAGCUCUCAGAACCACUCCGAGUGCAAGAAUCCAAUACCUGUCCAGACACAAAAGAGACAUCUCAGCAAGAGAGGACCACUGGAGGAAAGGGGAGGAGGUGAGCUUCUUCAGGAAGACCCUGCAUCCUUCCUCUGAGACGUCUCAAUACAAAAACACUCUGCGCUUGUCGACGCCCAAAACCAGGAGCCGUUUUCUCCAGGAAGCAGGGUCCCUUCACACUCCUCACUGCGACAGUAAUUGUCCUAUUUGGCACAUUGAUCCCAGAGUGAAAAGCGCCGUCAUCACUCCUCGACUGCUGCAGCUGUCAGAACCUAAACAGAACCACCCGGACUACCAGAACAACAGGGAGUGUGCUGCUUCCAUCAUUUCCUCGGCUUCCAGAACGGCUCGAAUUUCUCAGAGACUAGUCCAGCUGUCCCUGCCCAAGCUGAGGGAGAGCAAUGUCUGCCACCAGCUGGGACGCCUCGAGGAACCCAUCUGGACUGUUUCAAGAGCAGCAAAGAGAGCUAAAGGAACGGCUCGUACCGAGAUACUAGCAGCACCAAAGCAGCUUCACAAAGACUACAUCCCUCCAGGAAAAGCAGAGUGGAGCCGCAAAAAGUCCUUCUGAGCAUCUGUUAUGACGACCACAUCAGUAAUUUUUAAUUAGUACCUAAAGUAAGCUAGAUUUGUACCAUGUGGGAGGUAGAAAUGUAGUACAAAACUCAGUAUUUUGAGUUAUUUAGAUAAAAAAAUACAAUCUUUGUUUGAUUUGUAUUGCAGGAACUUUUAAUCACUCAAAUAAACUUCAUAUUUACUGUAAAUCCUCUAAUAAAGGCCCAGGCCUGUAUUUGACUCAAGCUCAUCAAGCUCCAGGCCUUUAUUGGAAGGAGGACCAGAAUUAGAGGCUGGCCUCAAUUUCUAUUUGAGCAAAAUGAACUAAUGGUUCGCUGGAGUUUUUGACAAUUAAAAUUGCGCCCACAUUUU
This 1177-nucleotide long non-coding RNA is filed under the name Nothobranchius furzeri (turquoise killifish). RNAcentral describes it as "lncRNA (ENSNFUG00015002815.1)". The record is from RNAcentral. Lineage: Eukaryota; Metazoa; Chordata; Actinopteri; Cyprinodontiformes; Nothobranchiidae.